RNAcentral lists this ribosomal RNA (271 nucleotides) under uncultured archaeon. Its description in RNAcentral is "partial 16S ribosomal RNA". It matches the Rfam family "Archaeal small subunit ribosomal RNA", at positions 477 to 747 of the family's 1478-position model. The record is from RNAcentral.
CAGCGCCACGAGUGGCAAUCACGUUUAUUGGGCCUAAAGCGUCCGUAGCCGGUUUGGUAAAUCUUUUGUGAAAUCGUCAGGCUUAACUUGACGGCUUGCAGAAGAAACUGCCGAACUCGGGACCGGGAGGAGUCAGAAGUAUUCAGGGGGGACCGGUAAAAUGGUAUAAUCCCCUGAGGACUACCGAUGGCGAAGGCAUCUGACCAGAACGGAUCCGACGGUAAGGGACGAAAGCCAGGGGAGCAAACCGGAUUAGAUACCCGAGUAGUCC